RNAcentral lists this ribosomal RNA (699 nucleotides) under Tannerella pachnodae. RNAcentral's name for it is "partial 16S ribosomal RNA". It matches the Rfam family "Bacterial small subunit ribosomal RNA", at positions 352 to 1042 of the family's 1533-position model. Lineage: Bacteria; Pseudomonadati; Bacteroidota; Bacteroidia; Bacteroidales; Tannerellaceae. The record is from RNAcentral.
CAUUNAGGAAUAUUGGCCAAUGGGCGAGAGCCUUACCCNGCCAAGUCGGGGGGCAGGAAGACGGCCCUACGGGUUNUAAACNGCUUUUAUAUUGGAAAUANUNANNCGCNANGUGUANNGAGAAAGAAAUGUCCCAUUUUGAAUAAGCANCGCCUAANUCCGUGCCAGCAGCNNCGGUAAUNCGGAGGNUGCGAGCGUUAUCCCGNAUUUAUUNGGGUUAAAGGGUGCGUAGGUGNCUUAAAUAANUCAGCGGUGAAAGUUUUGUCGCUAANCGAUAAAAUUGCCGUUGAUACUGUUAGGCUUGAGUGUAAAUUGAAGUAGGCGGAAUGCGUGGUGUAGCGGUGAAAUGCAUAGAGAUCACGCAGAACUCCAAUUGCGAAGGCAGCUUACUAAGCUACAACUGACACUGAAGCACGAAAGCGUGGGUAUCAAACAGGAUUAGAUACCCUGGUAGUCCACGCUGUAAACGAUGAUUACUAGGAGUUUGCGAUAAACAGUAAGUUCUACAGCGAAAGCGUUAAGUAAUCCACCUGGGGAGUACGCCGGCAACGGUGAAACUCAAAGGAAUUGACGGGGGCCCGCACAAGCGGAGGAACAUGUGGUUUAAUUCGAUGAUACGNNAGGAACCUUACCCGGGAUUGAAAUGUACCUGACUGACUGGGAAACUAGUCAUCUAGCAAUAGCAGGUAUGUAGGUGCU